Molecule: ribosomal RNA, 345 nt
Filed under: uncultured prokaryote
Description: bacterial SSU rRNA
Rfam family: Bacterial small subunit ribosomal RNA
Source: RNAcentral
AGAGUUUGAUCCUGGCUCAGAUUGAACGCUGGCGGCGUGCUUUACACAUGCAAGUCGAGCGGCAGCAUGACCUGGUUGAUGCGAGCGGCGAACGGGUGAGUAAUACAUCGGAACGUACCUUUUAGUUGGGGGAGUAACGCAUCGAAAGAUGUGCUAAUACCGCAUAAUCUCUGAGGAGGAAAGGCGGGGAGUCACGUAAGUGACCUGUCGCUGAAAGAGCGGCCGAUGGUCGAUUAGCUAGUUGGCGGGGUAAAAGCCCACCAAGGCGAUGAUCGAUAGCGGGUCUGAGAGGACGAUCCGUCACACUGGGACUGAGACACGGCCCAGACUCCUACGGGAGGCGAC